Molecule: ribosomal RNA, 1650 nt
Filed under: metagenome
Description: bacterial LSU rRNA
Rfam family: Bacterial large subunit ribosomal RNA
Source: RNAcentral
GGGAUGAAGCAGUACCGUAAGGAGCUGUGGACUGCAUGGAAGAGAGAAUGCCGGAAUGAGUAGCGAGAUAGAGGUGAGAAUCCUCUAGGCCGAAUAUCCAAGGUUUCCAGGGUAAAGCUGAUCUGCCCUGGGUAAGUCGGGGCCUAAGGUGAGGACGAGAGUCGUAGCCGAUGGACAACAGGUGGAGAUUCCUGUACUAUGAUAUGACAGAACUGUGGGGACACGUGCAGAGAGCGGAAGCCGGGAAUGGGAUCCCGGUGCAAGCGAGGUACCAGUCACAUUGGAAAAACCGUGUGGCAAUGGGAAGACGUGAUGCGGAGUGAAGUUUAGUAAUGAAGUCCGUGAGCUGUGCGUCAAGAAAAGCCGCUAUUGUUCAUACCAUACCCGUACCGUAAACCGACACAGGUGGAUGAGGAGAGAAUCCUAAGGCCGGCGGAAGAAGCAUUGUCAAGGAACUCGGCAAAAUGACCCCGUAACUUCGGGAGAAGGGGUGCCUGUGAGAGCAGGCCGCAGAGAAUAGGCUCAAGCAACUGUUUAGCAAAAACACAGGUCUAUGCGAAACCGAAAGGUGAGGUAUAUGGGCUGACGCCUGCCCGGUGCUGGAAGGUUAAGAGGAGAGGUUAGCGCAAGCGAAGCCUUGAAUUUAAGCCCCAGUAAACGGCGGCCGUAACUAUAACGGUCCUAAGGUAGCGAAAUUCCUUGUCGGGUAAGUUCCGACCCGCACGAAAGGCGUAAUGAUUUGAGCGCUGUCUCGACAAUGCAUCCGGUGAAAUUGAAGUACCAGUGAAGAUGCUGGUUACCUGCGCCAGGACGGAAAGACCCCAUGGAGCUUUACUCCAGUUUGGUACUGGGAUCCGGUACUGCAUGUACAGGAUAGGUGGGAGGCUGAGAAUCGGUAACGCCAGUUGCCGAGGAGCCGCUGUUGGGAUACCACCCUUGCAGUAUUGGGUUUCUAACCAGCCGCCGUGACCCGGCGGUGGGACAAUGCCAGACGGGGAGUUUGACUGGGGCGGUCGCCUCCGAAAGGGUAUCGGAGGCGCCCAAAGGUUCCCUCAGGAUGGACGGAAACCAUCCAAAGAGUGCAAAGGCAGAAGGGAGCUUGACUGCGACACCGACGGGUGGAGCAGGUACGAAAGUAGGGCUUAGUGAUCCGGUGGUAUUAAGUGGGAAUGCCAUCGCUCAACGGAUAAAAGCUACCCUGGGAUAACAGGCUUAUCACUCCCAAGAGCUCACAUCGACGGAGUGGUUUGGCACCUCGAUGUCGGCUCAUCGCAUCCUGGGGCUGUAGUAGGUCCCAAGGGUUGGGCUGUUCGCCCAUUAAAGCGGUACGCGAGCUGGUUUCAGAACGUCGUGAGACAGUUCGGUCCCUAUCCGGCGUGGGCGUAGGAUAACUGAGAGGAGCUGUCCUUAGUACGAGAGGACCGGGAUGGACGGGCCGCUGGUGCACCGGUUAGACUGCCAAGUCUAUAGCCGGGUAGCCAAGCCCGGAAGGGAUAAACGCUGAAGGCAUCUAAGCGUGAAGCCCCCCUCAAGAUGAGAUAUCCCAUCCGAAAGGAGUAAACCCCCUUGAUACGACGAGGUCGAUAGGGCAGAGGUGGAAGUGUGGUAACACAUGGAGCUGACUGCUACUAAUAGGGUGAGGGCUUGACC